UGCCUAUCCGUCGCGGGCGCAGGAAAUUUGAGAGGAGCUGUCCUUAGUACGAGAGGACCGGGAUGGACAUACCUCUGGUGUACCAGUUGUCGUGCCAACGGCAUAGCUGGGUAGCUAUGUAUGGACGGGAUAAGUGCUGAAAGCAUCUAAGCAUGAAGCCCCCCUCAAGAUGAGAUUUCCCAACUUCGGUUAUAAGAUCCCUCGAAGAUGACGAGGUUAAUAGGUUCGAGGUGGAAGCGUGGUGACACGUGGAGCUGACGAAUACUAAUCGAUCGAAGACUUAAUCAA
RNAcentral lists this non-coding RNA (288 nucleotides) under Bacillus thermotolerans. RNAcentral's name for it is "Quasibacillus thermotolerans Bacterial large subunit ribosomal RNA". It matches the Rfam family "Bacterial large subunit ribosomal RNA", at positions 2635 to 2925 of the family's 2925-position model. The record is from Rfam by way of RNAcentral. Lineage: Bacteria; Bacillati; Bacillota; Bacilli; Caryophanales; Bacillaceae.